UAUAAUUUAGUAUAAGAUGUACAUAGAUUUUUGAUGUUUAAAGUAAUAGUUUAAUUCUAUUAAUUAUAA
This 69-nucleotide transfer RNA is filed under the name Dichotomius schiffleri. Its description in RNAcentral is "tRNA-Gln". It matches the Rfam family "tRNA". Rfam says of the family: Transfer RNA (tRNA) molecules are approximately 80 nucleotides in length. Their secondary structure includes four short double-helical elements and three loops (D, anti-codon, and T loops). The record is from RNAcentral. Lineage: Eukaryota; Metazoa; Arthropoda; Insecta; Coleoptera; Scarabaeidae.